This 491-nucleotide ribosomal RNA is filed under the name uncultured bacterium. Its description in RNAcentral is "partial 16S ribosomal RNA". It matches the Rfam family "Bacterial small subunit ribosomal RNA", at positions 29 to 506 of the family's 1533-position model. The record is from RNAcentral.
AGUGAACGCUGGCGGUAGGCCUAACACAUGCAAGUCGAACGGCAGCACAGUAAGAGCUUGCUCUUACGGGUGGCGAGUGGCGGACGGGUGAGGAAUACAUCGGAAUCUACUUUUUCGUGGGGGAUAACGUAGGGAAACUUACGCUAAUACCGCAUACGACCUACGGGUGAAAGCAGGGGAUCUUCGGACCUUGCGCGUUUGAAUGGGCCGAUGUCGGAUUAGCUAGUUGGCGGGGUAAAGGCCCACCAAGGCGACGAUCCGUAGCUGGUCUGAGAGGAUGAUCAGCCACACUGGAACUGAGACACGGUCCAGACUCCUACGGGAGGCAGCAGUGGGGAAUAUUGGACAAUGGGCGCAAGCCUGAUCCAGCCAUACCGCGUGGGUGAAGAAGGCCUUCGGGUUGUAAAGCCCUUUUGUUGGGAAAGAAAAGCAGCAGGUUAAUACCCCGCUGUUCUGACGGUACCCAGAGAAUAAGCACCGGCUAACUUCGU